RNAcentral lists this long non-coding RNA (34115 nucleotides) under Hordeum vulgare. Its description in RNAcentral is "long non-coding RNA (HVUL_LNC017429)". Lineage: Eukaryota; Viridiplantae; Streptophyta; Magnoliopsida; Poales; Poaceae. The record is from RNAcentral.
UUCGUUGGUCAUCAGGUUAUGAGUGUACGCUUGUUACUGACCUUUUUAUGUGUUCUCACGUGAUAAUGAGUUGAGAUUCUAGAAGAAACUGAAAUAAAAUGUAGACAAUGAAGCGGAUGGUGCUUGGCAUGUGUCCCAUUAGAAAUCAUGAAAAAUUGACAGGAAAGUUUGUUGCUGAAAAUCAUGCACAUCACAUGAAUAGACCAUGGCUGGAAAGGUAGAAACCAUUCAACCAUGUCGGCUGCAAGGUACAUCUGCUUAUCUAGGGAGUUCAACUGCAUGCUUUGGCUUGGAAAUCGGGAUACCAAUCAAUUUGAGCUUAGUGCCUGCAGCAAUAGCGUAUGAUGUAUCCCUUCAUUCUCUUAUUGCAUUAUGGUGAUGCUCGUUAACUCUACAUGAAAUAGACACCAUUCAGCAGCAUCACACCUUCUGAGCUGCUAAGUUAACUAAAGUUUCGACUAUCACUCUGCCUCUAUAUAUAUAAUUGAGACCAUUUUAGUUGUUUGUGUUCCUUCGGUUGUGUGACCUUUGAUGUGUCUGUUUGCUAGUGAGGUGAGACUUUAGAAGAAACUGAAAAGGAGAUGUCAGUUGUUCGAACAUGGCAAAUUUGGUGGCUUCAACCAGCUUCCCCACAGGCCAGCAAGGUUCGGAUGUAAGACCGAAGUUCGGAGGUGUCGCUGGGGAGGACCGGGAUGCUCCCUGAGGAAAAUUAAAAAGAGGAGAGACAGAGAGGAAGCACAGGGGAAAAGGAGGAACCAGAUGACCGUGGUUAAAAAGGGAAGAAAAAAAGGAUGUAGCCUCCUCCAUUCCUGUUUGAUUGUCUAGAUGGGUGGGUUGUGUGUUCUGGUUGCUCAAUUUUGAUUUUACCUAUCAUGAAUAAAUGAUUCUGUUCAGUUACAAAUUCCCAAAUGCGCUUGUGAUAAUUCCAUGUACCGUACCAAAGCCUGCCAACGGUUUUGGCAGGUUUUUCCUACUCGUUGUUUCGCAAGUUCGGUUGCAAAUCAGCACUUGUGCGGACAUAAAUGAAGUUUCUUAGUAGUGAAAAGAAAAAGGCAAUUUGCAGGAGGACAGACAAUCGACAAUAGACAAUAAGACUAGACAUCCUUAAUACAAUAAAAAUUUGCGUGGUAAUCGCAUAAUGAUACAUACAAAAGAAAAGAACUUGAAUAAUUUAACUUCGAGCAGGUAAUGAACAACAAGGGGCACACAGAACAUCUCUCACACGACCCAUCAACUUCCAGAAUAACAUCAGUUGAUUGAUGGUCAUAAAAUAGUAAGACAGAAAAGAACUAAGACGAGGACUGCACAUUACGAAGGCAAAUUCAGUUCUUCUACUAAUUUACAUCCAUGUUCGUGAGUGUUGUCUCUAAUUUACACUGAUGAAAACUCCGCAGCUCUUCCAGAAAGUGGUUUGCAAGAUCAUAUACAGGGUAACCAAACUAUCACCCGAAAACAAAUAUGUUGUUCAGUUCGCAAGGCUCUACAUGCAGAGGAAAUCACAGUUAAUUUGAGACCUGGAAGCUCCUUGUAGGGUUCUUCUUUUGCCUAACUUCUAUAGAAUAUGACCGGAAUUACUUUAGUACUUCAAAAGAAGGACUUCAAGAAGCAAUAAUUCAUCUUCUUUAUCAGUUCAAUCGAAAUAAAUAGUAAGAAAACUAAAAAAUUAGAAAAAAAAUUUGCAUGCAAGAUGCUCGAGUGCAUCAGGUGCGUGCAAAAAAUAGUGGGCAAAAGACAAUGGAGAAGCUCACGUCAAAAAAGAAAAAAUGAGGCAUGAACAGUUGGUUUGUAAAAGAGUGAAUAACAAAGCCAUGUCUAGCUUCGUCCUCUCUAUUAUGAGUUCAGGAAGAAAAAAUAUGAUGCAACUUCCACUCCCACCAAAAGUGAGCGGAGAUAUUAGUUUGAACUGAAAUGAUUAGUUUUUUAUUUGUUUUUAGAAAAGGAAGGUUUCCUCCGGCCUUUGCAUCAAAACGAUGCAUGCAGCCACUUUAUUUAUAAAAUCAAAGUAAAGUCCAAAGGUUUCGAACAAGUUCCAAAGAGGCAACAAAAAAAAUAAAAAGUAGUACAAAAAUAUGCCACAACUCGCAAACAUAGGCCUAGAUGCCUAACCAUCUAUCCUAUUACUGGACCGUCAUCCAAACCGGUUAUAGAUAUCCCGAGCUACCAUCUUCCACCGGAUAGACCUAGUAACCAAAGGCUCCCUGGUUUCCGCAGGAGUGAGUAAUGACCAUGUACGGAUCAACGCCGAUGCCCUGUAGAGUACCUGCAAGAAAUUAAUAUUUGAUAGACAUCAUUCCUGCAGUUCCAUAUAGCCCAAAUUAAUGCACAUAAUCCUAUACGAAUAUGUCUAGCAAUAAUUAAGUCAACCCCAUUUAGCCACGUCCCAAACAACGUAUCAAUGCUAUCCGACGGUGUAAUAUUGAAUGCUAUACGGACUGUUUGCCAUAGGAUUUUUGCUAGUGGGCAUUGGAGAAAAAGAUGUUUGAUAGUCUCAUCAUGGUCACACAAGGAACAUCUUUUACUUCCCUCCCAGUUUCUCUUCUUUGCCAAAUUAUCUUUGGUAAGGAUCACCUUCUUGGGGACAAACCAUAUGAAGACUUUGAUACACAAAGGCACUUUCACCUUCCAGAUAUGAUUGGACUUGGGAAUUGUUGUUGUAUCAAUGAGGCUCAAGUACAUCGACUUGACAGUAAAGAUGCCAGUAGACGUUAGCUUUCACUGAAGCCUAUCGGCCUCCUCUGAUAGCUGUACAUCCAUGAAUCUUGUGACUAAGUGCAACCAUGCCUCCCAUCUAUGUCCAAUUAUAGCUCUCCGGAAUUGAAUAUUUAGAGGGUUGGAUUGUAGUAUUGUGGCAACAUAUGCCUCCUUACUUUGAACAAUAUUAUAGAGCGAUGUAUAUUGUAUGGCUAGAGGCGUCUCCCCCAGCCACGUAUCCUUCCAGAAUCUCGUAGACUUAUCAUCUCCAAUGAUAAAUUUAGCUUUGUGGAAAAUGGUCGCUUUCAUUUUCAUCAAGCCUUUACAGAAAGGAGAACAUUGGGCCUCACUGUUACGUGAGCCAAGGUUUUAGAUUGUACUUACUUAUUACGCAGAAUUCGUACCCACAUGCCCUCCAUCUCCACAGAUAGUCUGAACAGCCAUUUUCUCAACGGACAUCUGUUUUUUACCUCCAAAUUUUCAAUUCCCAAACCUCCUUGGUCCUUAGGUCUACAAAUAAUAUCCCAUCUAGCAAGCCGGUAUUUCUGCUUAACUUCAUCGCUUUGCCAGAAAAAUCGGGAUCUACAAAAGUCCAGUCUUUUCCAUACCCCGACCGGUACCUCAAAGAAGGACAGAAGGACAAUCGGCAUGCUUGUGAGAAUUGAGUUAAUCAGUAUGAGCCUUCCUCCGUAUGACAAUAACUUAUCCUUCUAACAGCUUAGUUUUCUCAAAAAGGUCCUCAACACAUUUCCAUUCUUUGUUUGAUAACUUACGAUGUAGUGUGUCUAACUCCGAAGUGCUCAGUGCAUCCACCGAACCAAAAUAAAUAAAAGUGGAACCAUGUCCGAUAUUCUUUUUUUGUAGCUUAGAGGAAAUUAAAUGUGUGAUUUGUUUGUGUAAUUCAAAAUAUCUUUGCUGCUAGGUUGACUGAAGCCUCAAAUAUUGCGCUAUCUCUCGACAUAUAUAUGCACCAUUUGUGUCUGUGCUCCACUAGAAGAAACCAAAAAAUGAGUAGCGAAAACUGACACCCGUCCUGUGUCGCUCGCUGGGGAGGAGCGACUGGCAGAUCCAAUCGGUGCCGCCAAUUCCCCCUUCCCCACCGGAGCCACUGUUGGAACUCCGUCACAGGAUCGAUCACAUCAAAUCACGACAAACACGCACACACAAAAUCUUGUAGCCAAGGGCCCUUGUCGUGCUCUAUUUUUCCCUCUUUAUUUUCUUCUUUUUAUCUCAACUCAAGGUACUAAGACUGAAGCCCCUCGUGCAUAUAUAUAUAUAUNNNNNNNNNNNNNNNNNNNNNNNNNNNNNNNNNNNNNNNNNNNNNNNNNNNNNNNNNNNNNNNNNNNNNNNNNNNNNNNNNNNNNNNNNNNNNNNNNNNNNNNNNNNNNNNNNNNNNNNNNNAUAUAUAUAUAUAUAUGCAAGAGUAGCCGACCCAAGAAAUACCUAGGCCUACACGUACUUGGUCUUGAGUCCAAACCGGACUCAACCUGCACUUUCCUGAUCAAGCUAAUUACACCGACACGUCAAACUCAAACUCUCAACCGAACACAUACAAUAGCCAAUUAUACUAAUCUUAGCUGGACUAAGAUAACUCACGCCAUGCAACCUAAUUAAGUCUAACACAAAUCAAAUCUAAUUCUAGAUUAUUCCUAACAAUCUCUCCCUAAUCUUGACUUGCCAUCUUCUUAGUGUUCCGUCUUGUCUUGACUCGUUGUUGACUCGUGACUUGUCGACACAUCGACUAAACCGUCGUAUCCGUACAUUGAGUAUGACUCGUCUGGAAACAUGUAGAACCUCCUUGCUCUACAGUGUUGUGCCACAGCCAUUGCUUGGCCGCUGCCUUGCACUCGGUCCGCACCAUACUCCUUGUACUUGCUUGCAGUAGAUCCACUCUCCACUGCUUGCACAUCUCCUCGCUUUACGAUGGCAUCGCCUACCAUCGUCCGCCUUCGGCAUCACACCAAAUCCACACUGGCCGCAACCAGGGCGCUCCACGAGGACAUGGAUAUGACUCACGGAACACCGUGCACACUCCUUCAACUCUAACAAAUCAUCAUCAAGACGAGCACUUGGACAUGACGACGCCCAAACAUGCGACUCGCAUGACUCCUUGACUGGUCCAACUCCCCUGGACGACGAUCUUGAUGAGCUCCAGCGCCGCACCUCGGCACCACCUCUUCCAUCAAUGAUCUCCUUCCACCACCUUGCCGACGACAGCCCGCCUCUCCCUCCAUAUCGCUCCGCCGAACAACGAUCUUCUGAACCUCCUCAUCCAUCGCUCCACGAACGACUAUUGCCCGAUCCUUGCCGUCGCUGCAACACUCAUCGACUAUCACCCGCUCCUCCUCGUCGCUACACCAACGACUAUAUUGCCAACUCUUCUCGCCGUUGCACCACCCAACGACUAUAUUGCCCGCCCCGAGGCACUAGUGGGCUUGUCACCCCGGGGCAAGCGCAGCUUCUCCUCGACCUUGCUCUGAUACCAAUUGUUGGAACUCCGUCACAGGAUCGAUCACAUCAAAUCACGACAAACACGCACACACAAAAUCUUGUAGCCAAGGGCCCUUGUCGUGCCCUAUUUUUCCCUCUUUAUUUUCUUCUUUUUAUCUCAACUCAAGGUACUAAGACUGAAGCCCCUCGUGCAUAUAUAUAUGCAAGAGUAGCCGACCCAAGAAAUACCUAGGCCUACACGUACUUGGUCUUGAGUCCAAACCGAACUCAACCUGCACUUUCCUAAUCAAGCUAAUUACACCGACACGUCAAACUCAAACUCUCAACCGGACACAUACAAUAGCCAAUUAUACUAAUCUUAGCUGGACUAGGAUAACUCACACCAUGCAACAUAAUUAAGUCUAACACAAAUCUCUACCUAAUAAUAAAGCAAAUACUGUUUCUGGUCGUCCGUCCUUAAAUUUGCCCCUAAAGUUCGCUGGAAUUACCCACCUAUGCCGUCGGUAAGUGGAAAAAACGAUUCAUUUUUCCUAUCUUUUAAACUCUAUCGUUACAUUUGAUUCAAUAAGAACAGGCCCCUGAACUAAUCACGUGCGUGCGUUGGUCCAACUGGUUGGGAGCUUGUGUCUUCACCUUGAAGACCAAGGUUUGAUCCCUCACUCUCCCUAUUUUCCAUCCACUUUUGUGUAUUUUUUGCCGGCGGGUGGCUGCCUGCAAAGCACUGUUUUUCUUUGCUUUGUUUUUAUCUUUUGACUUUAUUUAGAUAUAUAGUUUGAAUAUUUUAAUUACAAAAAUCCUGUGUAUGCAAACUAUGAAAAAUUAAUAAUCAUGCAUUAAAGAAAUCCCAAACUUGAAUAGAAAAUAAUAUAUUACAUAAGAAAGUACAGUAUGUAUGAAGAAAUAAUCUAACUUUUAUUUAUUUUUUGAAAAAUAUGGAUCAUGCAAUUAUUUAUUUUAAUGUGCAUAGAAAAUGUUUCUGAUCUAUAAUAAAAAAUGUAUACCAAAAUAUACAAUGUAUAUGGAACAAAGUAGACAUAACAAAUAUAAGUUUUCUAAAAUGUUAAUUAUGUAUUUGGAGAAUGUCAAAUGUGUAUAUAAAAAAUGCUUCUAAUAUAUACAAAAAAUGUAAAAUGUGUAUAAAAAGUAGAUAUCAAAACUAAAAAAGUUUCAAAAAAUGUUAACCAUGAAAUUGGAAAAUAUGAAACGUGUAUAUAGAAAACUUUUUUGAUGUAUAAAAAAAGUACAAUGUUACUAUGCAAGCUUUCCGUAGACCAAUGGCUUAACUUUGAUUUUCAUAUUGUUUGAAAUUGUUUUUUAAUGAUUUUUUUAGAAUUAGGAAAGAUGCCCGUGCAUUGCAACAUAGAACAUUUGGUAUGGAUGUUCUUACAAAUUUAUUGUUUCCGAUGAAGCUGUCUAAUUUGUUUGCAAACAAAUUAAAACUUCACUUGGACUAUAAAUGCAAACAAAUAUAUCAGCAAGACAAAACAAAUACGCUUAUGCAUAUGCUAUCGUGAGUAAAAUAAAACGUACUUUGUUACUUUCAUCCUAAUGCAAAUAUGGGCAUCAGCAAGGAGGACCGACUGCAAAUGUGUAAAGAGAUACAUGCGACUUCAUAGAUAUUUUUAUUAUCAAAUAAACUAGAAAAAUCUUAAGUGCACUUCAAAAAUUAUCACAUUUUUAUAUUUUUAGGCAACACCGGUUAUCAUGUUGUUUCUCAUGUGGCAUUGUGCAAGAUGUCAAGAGACUUACUUAUAUCUCAAGAGCGUGUAUGUGAAAUAAACAAAUUCUUCCGUUGCAACGCACGGGCAUGUUUGCUAUCUAUAUCUAUACCUACUAAUAAAGGAAAUAGGUAUUCUUAGUCCGUCAUGCUAUUUUAUGAAAAAAAACUCUGAUGUUUCUAACAUUAAUCCCGUAAUACAUAUUAAAUAUAUUUUAUCAUACUCACAUCUUCUAAACCGUAACUUCAAAUUUAACAUUUUAUAUAUGGAAUUUGAUUAGAUAAAUAUAUAGAAUUUGAAUAUGAUGUUUUUUUAUCUGUAAACAUUUAAUAAAAACACUAUCUGGGGUGCAAUAUUAAUAAAUAAUUCAUCAUUCGUCUUUCUUUCAUACUGGUACUAAUCUGGAUUGGAGAUGAAACUGAAGGCCACUUGCCCGUUUCUUUGUACAUAUUAAAUCUACAUGCAAGCGUGUUAAAAUAAAAGACCUGUGGAAUCUUGAACUGCACUUGUGUAGAGUAAGAUCAUCUUGGUUUGUGUCGUAACUACAAAUUCUUAGAUUAUAGACCAUUUUUCUAUAAAUUAAAAGCGUGUUGUAUUUUUUCUUUUCCCGUUGCAACGCACGGGCCCUUUUGCUAGUCAAAUCUAAUUCUAGAUUAUUCCUAACAGCCACCCGCUCCGCCGUCGCCGUUGGCGCUUGCUGCGAUGGCGGCGGGCUUGCCUCCUUGGACGCGGCGUUCCCCCCAACGGGUCGUCUCCUCUCUCUCCUAGGUGGCUUGUUCCUCGAGGCGUGAAGAACGGCAUUGUCCGUAUCCUGUUGGUUCUUUGAUGCAGUCCGCUGGUAGCUGCAUCGAGACGUCAAUGGCGCUCAGUGGCAAUAUGCUCAAGGAAGAGUUGGCCUCCUGGUUGUGGCCUACAGCGGUGUUAGCAAUAAACCACGCUUUGUAUGGGUCAUGCAUGUAGUUAGCUGUAGUGGAUGUCCGAGCGUCCGAUGCUGGCCAAGUCUUGCCGUGUAUGGUCAUGGCUGAAGAAGCGGCAGCAAAAGAGAUCAGAUCAUCAUACAUGCAUGGACAGCUGCAGUUCCGUUCGUGCGGAGAGGCAGGUCCAGGUCAUGUGGAUCAUGGGUGAUCAAGUCAGCUAUUAGUGCGUGAGUGCAUGUAGUGGAGCAGGUCGUGUGCAUAAGAGCCGGGCAGGUUGUUGUCUGGCUGUCUGCGUGCGUGUGUGAGGCUAUAUAUAGCCAUGUACGUGUGUGGUGUGUCCACCGAGGUGUGUGUAAUCAGUUGAGUGGAAUAGAAGCCAACAUACAGGCCGUUCGGCGGCCGGGGCGUUCGUCGCCAUAACCAAGUGUUUCUGUUCAUCUUCUUCUACCUCCGUCGGGCGUUUUGUCGCCGGAGGGCUGCCUCGGCGUGUGUCGCGGGAGGGCAGCCCCAACAAGCGGGUCUCGUCAGGGGCUCACGAACGUGGGCUGUCUCCGGAUCGAGCACUAGAUCGAAAACCCCAUCUCCAAGCCAUCUCCCUGGCGCGUAUCUCGGCAAGGGCUGGCCGAGGGAGCCAUGAUCCUCCUCCACGCCAACCUCGAGUCAAGUGGCAUGGGGCAUGUUCGAAAAUCUCGGGCAGUCGUGGUGCAGGCAAGCGUCGGCUGUAUUUCCUCAUCGAUCUGGCCGAUGCCACAAGCUCCGACUCCUCGAUGCAUCCUCCACUCGCCGUUGCAUGCCUGCGUGCCGCUGAGCAAAGCCCUCGCGGUGGCUGCUGGGGCGACGCGUUGGUGUUGGUCUCGACGAUUACCACUAUGCAUGGUUGCACAUCAGCAGGUGGCGGUGGUAAUGCUGGGUCUGUGUGACGCAGAGUAGGCUUUGCCGGAUGCGGCAGUUGGGCCUAUGUGUGGCUUCUCAUCGGGAAGCGUGACAGCCGGCGUGAUUGUGGUGGUCACCCAAAGGUCUUCGUGAGGUUUCUUCCUCUAGAUCCGGUGGUUGACUUUCGACAGGGAGAUGCACACGAUGGACAAUUGUUUGACACGGAGAGAUGGUUGUGCAGCGGGGCGACCGUGCAUCGCAUGUGAGACUGAAGCCAUCGCGGAAAGUGAUGGUGACAACACGUAUGACAUCCAUUAUGGUGCGAAAAAGUGGUGAUGACUACACGUAUGACAUCCAUUGUGGUGCUACUCGAGCACCCGGUCCCGAGCUUCAGGGUGAAAGCCUAGGUCUGGUACGAGUUGGUUAUAUCUGUCAAUGAUGAUAUUUUUAUGUCGUUGCUUUGUUGAAUUCAUUGUUCGGAUAUGCUCAUAUUGAUUCUUCAGGGUGAAAACCUAGUUUCUGGCCUUGGCUUGUUGAAUCCGGUGACGGCGACGCUUGAGCAAUAUACCGUUUCUUAAUGUGUUGCUGCUGAAGAACCAUGGCGUCCAUCUGGUGUCAUGAAAUGGCUGGUGCGGAUAAGACCAUUGUUGUAGUUUGCUGAUUUCUGAUCUGAUCGCUUUGAUUUUUUUCUUUUCCUCGCAUAUGCAUAGCUUUGAUUUUAUAUGAUUUUGCUACUAGGUGACGUGAUUUUUAUGUGUGCAUCUUAGCUAUGUAGAGAUCGGAUAUGUUCUUAAUGUGUUUGUAUACUCUUGAUGCUUCAUUUUGACGCAAUAAAAUCCAACCUUUAUCGAAAAAAGAACAAACCAAAAAUAUAUGUGAAUAGUUGUUCGGAUUACUUGCGCGUCCAGCACGCGCUAGAACAUCUUAACAGGAAAAUGCAGUGCUACAAAUUUGAGCAGGUAUAAAGCAUGAUAUUGGCCCUGAUAUUGUCCAUAUUGUCUCAAGGGAAGACUGCUGGCUGGUCAAAGUGUGCAGAACCAAGCCAUAAUUGUUGUGAUCUGAAUGCAAAAUAAUAAUUCAGUUCCCCCCGCAAAAAAAAAAAGGUCAGUUAGUUAACCCGGAAUUAGUGUUCAAAUUAUGAUUCCUAAAUCCUUUACUUGUGAUGGUCCCUAGCCGCCGCCGAAGCCCGUCGACCAGACGGGUGGCGGUGAAGCCUCUUUUGGUUGGUACCACACGGGCGUGAGGCUAUUUCUAUAUAGACUUGAUUACUUAGGACAGAUCUAAACCUUCGACUAGUUUGAAACAGAGCAUUAGAAAAAACAGUAUGUGAAGCACAAGUAUAACAGCCAAAUGUUAUGCAGUCAUUGUAAUACUAGCAGCGAAGAUGCGCGGUGCACGCCGCGCCCGUCGGAAGGCUUAUUUAUAUUUCGAAUGAGUACUUCAAUUUUUUUAUUGCAUGCAUGUAUUAUUUUUCAUGCUUAGUUGGUUUGAUUUAUUUAUUUUUGUUUGGGUUUUAUAGGAUGGAAAAGAGUUGCAGUUUCGUUUUGGCACGGUUCACUGAUGUAAUAAAGUUGUUUAUAACAUGUUUACAUCCGUCGUGGUUGUCUUUUUGUCUACGGGUGUAGAGAUGCUUGACUUGUUUUUUGUAUAUAGUGAUAAAGACCAUUGCCAGUGGUGUCCAUUUCAUGUUCUUAAUAGAAUGGAAGUGUGUUUUAAGGAUCAUGCGAUUAAAGUUUUGAAAAAAUCAUGAUUUAUUGAUGGCAAAGAGUUAAAUAGUACAGGUGCAAUACAAAACAAAUAAUUCUAAAUACGAUGCAAUAAAUUAAAAAUCAUUUAUAGUCUGUCUAUGGGUAAAUCAUUAGUGGUCCACCUUUUUUUGUCCUUGCGGAAUUUCUUUAACAUGUGAGACCUGGCGAUAUUCAAUAAGAGAAGUGAAUCAGUGUUAUAUUUUUCUGAACUUUAUUGAUUUUUUAUCUCGGUGCCAGGGACUUGUUCAUGCAUGACCUAUGUGUCUUAUAUUUAUAUUUGAUUUUCAUAUCUUCAUAGCACUCAUCUAGGAGUUUUAGUAAGCGGACAAUGUUAGAAUCAGUAGCAUCAGAGGUGUUUUUUGGUACGUGUGAGUAAUGCUGAUAGAGUGAGAUUUCUCUUAUCGUACACAUGGUGAGCGAAGGAUGGUGUGGCUGGCAACGAUCAUAAUAGUUGUAGAGCUUUAAUAGAUAGGUAAUACAAAAAGAAAUAUAAUAAUCGUUAAUGUUAAUAGUAGAAAAACUCAGGUUUUUCCUUUGUAUUUUCCUCGGUUUAUUGCUUACGCGGAUACUAUGUGUUGGUACAAUUUCAGUUUACAGUUUAUGUAUAAAGUUUUUAUUUUUGAUAGAUGUUGGUAUAUUGCAGUUUAUUCAGUGGGCAUUGAAACACUGGUCACAUGAAGCAAUGUUGCAUACGAAGUGACUGUUUUGAAAAUAGUGUUUCGGUUUAUUCGGAUUAUUUGUUCCAGUUUGUUAGUUUUAAUGUUCUCUUAAAAUGAGACCUAACUCAAACCGUUCGAGGAAAAUAAAUCUUGGGACAACAAUCCAUAAGAAUGAAUCUAAGGAAAAAUAAAUUAAGCAGUACCAUUUUAAACAAUAAAAGAAGGUUGGCACCCAAGAUGCAAUCUUUUCUUUGGAUUUUGGCUUCGUGGUAAAAUUGGAGUGGAAAGACGAUCAUUUUAUUAUCAAGGAGCAAUGCCAUUAGGUAAAAUUAAUUAUUACAAAAUAUGUAUAUAGAUCAGGUCAAACUAAGUUAAUAAAUUGGUAUUUAUUCAAUUUUAUUUUUUCUAUGCGUAUUUACCUAAUCCAUUAGAUUUGUGCGUUUUUCACUUUAGGAAUUAUCUGUAAAUAAGUCUAAAAAUAGCAUGAUAUAAUUGUAUUAAAGGAUACCCAUAAACAAUUUACUAAGCAAUAAAAAUAAUAAUGAUAUAGGAGUACCUGUAGUGUAAGAGGGCAAUAAAAUAUACAUAAAGAUCUCCUUUUUAGAAAUGUAAAUACCUAUGAUGAUAUACAAUACGUAAAAAGAAGCCAUUUUUAUGGAUACUGUUCAUAAAUAUAUUAUUUUACAAAAAACAAUAAAUGGCAUUAUUCAUAAAUACUAAUACUUUUCAUAAAAUUCUUUUUAGAAAUGUGAAAACCUAUGUACGUAAAAAAACCAUCUUCUCCUUUUUAAACCCUAUUCACAACCGGGGCUACGGGGUUACUACUCGCUGUUGGCCACGUAAAUAAGCAUUAGAUAAAAAGAUGGGUCACUGUUUAUAUGAGAUUAUUGUUCACAACAAGGGUAACAUCGCGCAUGGUUACUAUUUUUUGCAUUGGAUUACUGUUCGCAACCGGAGGAUACGGGGUUACUAUUCGUUGUUGGACGUAAAUAGAUGUUGGAUAAAAAGACGGGGUCACUGUUCACAACACGGUUAACGUCGUCGUGGUUACUGUUUUCGCUGGAUUACUGUUCACAUCAGGUGACGUGGCCGUGAAAAUAAAUAGUGAAUGUAAAAAAAUCAAAAAACCCAGAAAAACCGGAUCGCUGCAGCUUUAGUAUAUAGUGGGUCAUUGUUUAUAUGGGAUUAUUGUUUACAACCGGCGGUAAUGUUUGCUUUGCACUGGAUUACUGUUUACUGGUGAAAAUGAAUAGUGAAUGUCAAAAAAAGUCAAAAAAAUCAGGAAAACCGAAUCGUUGCGAUAUGGGAUUAUUGUUUACAAAGGGGGUAAUGUUUGCUUUGCACUGGAUUACUGUUUACUGAUGUUGAUGUGGACGUGAAAAUGAACAAUGAAUGUCAAAAAAAAGUCAAAAAAAUCAGGAAAACCGAAUCGUUGCGGCUUUAGUAUAUAUAAGUAUAUUUUAAAUGUCACCCCAAUGCAAUGAGCUGAGAAUUUUGAGGGAAGUCAAAAUGACUAUUUACCUUAGCAUAUGAUCAGCAUGUGAACGAUUGAAAACAUACUAUGCACAGCUUGUUAGUGUCAGGAACAUGAAUUGUUAGUGCCCAUGACCAUGAGCUACACACCAUUCAGCACACAGCAUCACGCUUAUCACGCUGCUAUUUACUUUUACGAUGUUUUGAACAUUGCCACUCCAUCUCUUUAUAUAUGUCCAAACCAUAUAGAUCUUUUCUGCAGGUGUUCCUUCCAUUGAUUAUUAAGUACCAUUGUACACACAGUACUAAAGAUUUGAUGUGUUUCCUUGGCGAUGAGUUGAGAUUUUAGAAGAAACUGAAAGAAAAUAUGGACAAUCCCAACUCGCCUCCAAGCAUUUGUUGAGAUUUUAGAAGAAACUGAAAGAAAAUAUGGACAAUCCCAACUCAGCUCCAAGCAUUUGUGUGUACGUACUGAGAAACCAGGAAAAUUGGACACGAAAAGAUGCUUCUGCAAACCCAACAUCCGUAGAUCAGAUUAUAUCCCAUCGGACAAGUGUUCAGUUUGUUCGAAUCAAACUAUGAAUGUGUCUGACAGAGAAAUGCUGAGUGUGUCCACCAAGCAGAAAUAAAUUAAAGUGGAGCCAUGUACAUAAUUCUUGUUUCUUGGUUUGGUGUAACUAAAAACUGUGAUGUGUUUGGGUUAUUUGAAAUAUACGGAUGUCUCGAAUAUUGCUCUAUCACUCUAUAUAUAAUUAUGGACCAUUUACAUCAUUUGUAUUUGUGCUCCUUCAUCGGUCAUCGGGUGAUGACUUAUGAGAUGUUGAAAAGACUAUUGUUGCAUCUUACUAUUUUUUAGACUUGCAUGGCAGGUGCUCCGCCGAUUUCAUUAAAAGGGAAAAGAAAUACAGAGUGGUCCGAAUUAUGAGGAAAACUAGGCCGAAAACCAUUGAACUAAAAAGAAAACAAAGAAAGAAAAAAACAACCAUCGAUACAACACGAACAAACCACCUCCACGAAUCACAACCUCUGUCCGAAAUGAUAGUGAGCAAGAUCUUCAAAGACGCCUUCAAGAAGGAAAGCAGUAUAACCUGACACCAUCGUCGUCUUCGGCAUCGACCUCCGUCGAUCACAAAGCUUUCACCCAGAUCCGCACAAGACCACUCCACCGAACCUUGAGAAUGGUCCGUCCUAGCCAACAACCCCAGUGCCGCUUCCAAUCCAAACCGGCCAGGACUCAGUGGUGAGAGGUAGCUCUUCGACAAUGCCUCCAAGGAGGAAAAGGACGCCCGCAAGCGCCAACAUUGCCGGCAUCGACCCCCGUCGAACAAACAAGCUUUCGCCCAGAGCCUAAAAUCUCACCACCUCUACAGACUCCGGGGAGGGAUGUUGGGGAACGUCGCAUGGGAAACAAAAAAUUUCCUACGUGCACGAAGACCUAUCAUGGUGAUGUCCAUCUACGAGGGGGAUUUCAGAUCUACGUACCCUUGUAGAUCGCACAGCAGAAGCAUAAAUAAACGCGGUUGAUAUAGUGGAACGUCCUCAAGUCCCUCGAUCCGCCCCGCGAACCGUCCCACCAACCGUCCCGCGAUCCGUCCCACGAUCCGCUCCGAUGUAGUGCUGAACGGACGGCACCUCCGCGUUCAGCACACGUACAGCUCGACGAUGAUCUCGGCCUUCUUGAUCCAGCAAGAGAGACGGAGAGAUAGAUGAGUUCUCCGGCAGCGUGACGGCGCUCCGGAGGUUGGUGUUGAUCUAAUCUCAGCAGGGCUCCGCCCGAGCUCCGCAGAAACGCGAUCUAGAGGAAAAACCUUAGAGGUAUGUGGUCGGGCUGUCGUGGAAAAGUUGUCUCAAAUCAGCCCUAAAACAUCCGUAUAUAUAGGUGGGAGGGGUGGGGCCUUGCCUUGGGGCUCAAGGAGCCCCAAGGGGUUCGGCCGAAGGGGGGGAGGAGGAGUCCUCCUCCAAUCCUAGUCCAACUAGGAUUGGAAGGUGGAGUCCUUCCCUUCCUUCCCACUUCCCUUUUUUUUUCUUUGAUUUUCUUAUCUCCUUGCGCAGGGGCCUCUUUGGGCUUGCCCACCAGCCCACUAAGGGCUGGUGCGGCACCCCUAAGGCCUAUGGGCUUCCCCGGGGUGGGUUGCCCCCCCNCCCAUUCGUCAUUCCCGAUACAUUCCCGGUAAUUCCGAAAACCUUCCGGUAAUCAAAUGAGGUCAUCCUAUAUAUCAAUCUUCGUCUCCGGACCAUACCGGAAACCCUCGUGACGUCUAUGAUCUCAUCCGGGACUCCGAACAACAUUCGGUAACCAACCAUAUAACUCAAAUACGCAUAAAACAACGUCGAACCUUAAGUGUGCAGACCCUACGGGUUCGAGAACUAUGUAGACAUGACCCGAGGGACUCCUCGGUCAAUAUCCAAUAGCGGGACCUGGAUGCCCAUAUUGGAUCCUACAUAUUCUACGAAGAUUUUAUCAUUUGAACCUCAGAGCCAAGGAUUCAUAUAAUCCCGUAUGUCAUUCCCUUUGUCCUUCGGUAUGUUACUUGCCCGAGAUUCGAUCGUCAGUAUCCGCAUACCUAUUUCAAUCUCGUUUACCGGCAAGUUUCUUUACUCGUUCCGUAAUACAAGAUCCCGCAACUUACACUAAGUCACAUUGCUUGCAAGGCUUGUGUGUGAUGUUGUAUUACCGAGUGGGCCCCGAGAUACCUCUCCGUCACACGGAGUGACAAAUCCCAGUCUCGAUCCAUACUAACUCAACGGACACCUUCGGAGAUACCUGUAGAGCAUCUUUAUAGCCACACAGUUACGUUGUGACGUUUGAUACACACAAAGCAUUCCUCCGGUGUCAGUGAGUUAUAUGAUCUCAUGGUCAUAGGAACAAAUACUUGACACGCAGAAAACAGUAGCAACAAAAUGACACGAUCAACAUGCUACGUUUAUUAGUUUGGGUCUAGUCCAUCACAUGAUUCUCCCAAUGAUGUGAUCCAGUUAUCAAGCAACAACAACUUGUACAUAGUCAGAAGACCCUGACUAUCCUUGAUCAACUGGCUAGCCAACUAGAGGCUUGCUAGGGACAGUGUUUUGUCUAUGUAUCCACACAUGUGUCUAAGUCUUCAUUCAAUACAAUUAUAGCAUGGAUAAUAAACGAUUAUCUUGAUACAGGAAUUAUAAUAAUAACUUUAUUUAUCAUUGCAUCUAGGGUAUAAUUCCAACAAGGGAGCCAAGCCAAAGAGAACCUGCAAACCGAGCCUUGACUCCGCUUGUAUUCAACAAUGGCGAGACCAGACCAAUUAGAUCGGAAGGGCUCCACGGCCUACGCAUAACCAUGGUGGAUUGCUCGUGUUGAGACCGGCACCACCGCGUACACGAGCAUCACACUAUUACCACCGGGGCGACCUCUAGAGCCGCCACCUCCACCACUACCACGAUGACCACCACAACCAUGGCCCCAAAAGCCCAGUUGGGACAAGAGAGGAGCCAUAACCACAGUCAAGCCUCAGAUCCACCUCCAAAGCCGAAGCUCUCGCAGGAAGGGCAGAUCGGGCACCAACUCCACUGCGCCUCCGCGCCGAACCACCAGUCGGCGCACCAUCCGCCCCGAAGCAAACCCCGACGGCCAGCCCCGUCGCCGGAGCGGACAGAUCGGGACCGCCCCGAUCUGAGCCUCUGAGCCCGCUCCUGGACAGCCGUCGCAGCAGCCGAGCAGCCCACCCACCUCACCCCGAAACACCGACGCAAGAGCCGCGACGACGCGCCGGCCGUCGCACUCUGCUCGUCGCCCGCCGCCAUGAGAUCCCCAACUCGUGGAGGACGCCGCCGCGGGAGAAAAGAACCGGCCCCGCCGCCGCCAGCUUCAAGCGAGCUUUGCUCGCGGGAGGCACCAGCGACGGCGAGGGGAGGAGGAGGGUGGGGGCGCCGGGGGCCUGUUGGUCGGGGUCGCCGCCCGUGUCGUCCCUGGGGACGGAGCGACGCGGGGGCUGUGUGUGUGUGGGGGGGUAAUUGGUUGUGUUGUUGCAUCUUAUAGGUGAGGUAAUAGAAGAAGCCCAAAACAUAUGUGAAUAGUUGUUCAGAUUACUGAAGUGUACUGCAUGUCUCAACAGGAAAAUGCACUGCUGCAGAUUUGAGCAGACAUUGACCUUAUAUUUAAGAUUGUAUCCAAGGAAAACUGCCCACUGAUCAAAGUGUGCAUAACCAUCUCGAUGAUGAAAACCCAAGAUCUUCGACCGUACAUCGACAACGCUUGUGCAUUGUUUUUUUCUUGAAGGCGUUGCUUUUGGAAAGCCCCAUUUGUAAGAUGGGUGUUCGGUGCAGGUUAAAGUGCUACUGAUGCUAGUGAUUGAUGACUGUGGCAGGGUCUGUUUUUGUUGCUAUUCUUUUUAUUAUAUGUGUGUAUCCUUGAUGCCUUUGAUCAUUUUGUUCGUACAGAGCCCGGGUAUAAUCAGAUUUGCGAUAUCAAUAUAUUUUCUUUGUGAGAAAAAAACUUCAAAAUGUUGGUUAGAAAAAGAGUUCGAGUAACUGAAUAGGGAAGAGCAACAAAGCCAUGUCUUAGUGUCCUCCUCUAUCAUGAGUUUGGGAAGAAAAAAAGGGAUGCAACUUUGACUCCUUCAAAAAAUGAGUUGAAAUAUUAGUUAGAACUAAGUGGUUAUUUACCCCCACCGUAUACUUGUGAUAUGCAUGUGAACAACUAAAGAUUAUGCAUAGCUCAGCUAGCUAACAUGAGAAACUCUAUUACUCAGGAGUUGCACGCCUUUUCAGAGGCAUCACGCUUACUGUGCAGAUGUAACCAACUUUCUGAACAUUGCCGCAUAUCUCCUAAUUAACCAUAUCCACCUUUUCAGUUGGGCUCCUUCCGGUUGUCAUUGGGAUGAGCUUACAUUAUUACUGAACUUCUGAUGUCUUUUUUUCAUGCAGGAAAAUUUAACAGGAAAAUGUUCCGCUGCAAAUCCAGGUUCGCCAUGGAGAAGUGCUCGGUUUGGCUAACUAAGAGCCGUUUAUUUAAUUAAAUCAUAUGGGUGAUCUAAGUUGGAAUUCCAACACAAAACCAAAGGAGUACGACCUUCAAAUACUAUGGAGUACCAUGAGUUGGGUAAAAUCGUCGGCAUGCUGAUUGUUGCUACGCUUCUUUCGAUUAAAAAAACAUAUAUUCAACUGUUCGAUCUCUGUUCUUCCGUCGAGACAUGGUGACCCGGAUGGCUUUACCUGCCGGCGGUCCGUGCGCAAACCCACGGGGUGCUGAGCGGCGCGGCGGGAGCCGAAUGCCCAACGGCGAUAGUGAGUCUAGAACCUGGUAAACCAGAUGCAUCCAUGACGCGGCGGCCAGAAACUUAAUCGGCUUCAUCAAGACUAAACUAUAGCAAACCUUGACGCCAGGGCAUAGUUAGCUUGAAAAACUGUAAAAUAGCAGAUCAUCGCAUACAACAACUCUUUAAUUAGUAACGAGAGAUCCUUGGAGGAUCUCAAACAGACGCGCGGUGGCGCUGUGCGUUAAAUAAAUUUUGCAGCCCCGAAACAGCGUUUUAGAGCAUCUCCAAUGGCAACGUAAAAAAUCCGCACCCAAUAAAUUUUUUAGCGCGCCACUGUAGCAGUUUUGAAGCGUGGGGACCGGAGCAUCUCCAACAGACGCGCGUUAGUGCGGCGCCCAAUCCAGUCCGAUCCAGCGGUCCCAUCUGCAGCAGCUCAGAGUUUGCUGCGCGCGUAAGCCGGCGCACCAAAUAUGCUGCGCGCGAUAGCGUUUUUAAACGCGCGUCCAAAAAUAUUUAGCGCGCGCAGUGUUUUGCAGCUUCUGCUGGAGCAGUCCGGCGCCCAAAAAACGGAUCUUUUAGCGCGCGGAGCAGUUUUUGGACGCUUGUUGGAGAUGCUCAGCACACGCAAAAGGAUGGUUGUUUUUCAAACGCUGUAUAAUUUAACGUGCCACUGUACGCUGCAAAAUCCAGCGGGUGCUCAAUCGUCGUUAAAAAACAUAUACGCAACAGAAACAUUCAAAUUCAAAUGUAAUUUUAUAAGGGAACCACAAGCAAUUUCAUAUGAUGCUAAAUGCAAAUAAAAAUAACAGAACCACAAGCUAGACUAACUCUCGCCCUCCUAGAUGGUGUGGUCCGACAACAUAAACGGUUGACCCGAGGAUCAUCCUUGUCCCAGGUUAAAGCUGUCGGUUGUCUAUCUGGGCAUCGAACGCUUGUCCGCCCGACGCGGGACUCACUCCGCCUUCCAUUGCGCCCAGAAUUCGUUCUAGACGGCGACAUCCUAUGAGAAGAGCACUUGCCACGCCCAGGCCCGGCCCUANNNNNNNNNNNNNNNNNNNNNNNNNNNNNNNNNNNNNNNNNNNNNNNNNNNNNNNNNNNNNNNNNNNNNNNNNNNNNNNNNNNNNNNNNNNNNNNNNNNNNNNNNNNNNNNNNNNNNNNNNNNNNNNNNNNNNNNGGGGGGGGGGGGGGGCGGCCGCCCCGGGCCCCCAAAGUCCAAGGGGCCCUAGCAGGUGGCGCAUGGAAUGGCCCAGGGAUUAGGCAGGGAGUGCACGUAGCCCACGACGAGUGCACGACAUCUGAUCGCUAGGAUCGUUAGGAUAGUAAGUUUUCUAUAGAUGGCGAUGAUCCAUAUACUAUUCCCCUGGCCCUCGAUCGUGAUUUGUUGAUGCUGGACAAACAACAGAAGUACAUCGACGAGCUCUGUCUUCUAAUUAAUCUCCCAAAUUCAGUUACCAAAAACCUAAUUAAAGGCCACAGACGGAAUGCUGCAGGUGCAGAUGUUCAACAAUUCCCUGUUGGACGUCGGCAUGCAAUCUGCCGCUGAUACGUUUCAGGUUUUGCUUCUAUCAAAUGUUCUUUAUUCAAUCAAAUCUUUUCCUGCUGCUGCUACCGGUUUGCUACAAUACCGGUUCAGGCGUUCAUACAAGCAACCCAUUAAGGUGUGUUUUUCAAUCCAUGAAUGGAUAUGUACCACAUCUAGCAAAUGUAUGUCUAAUACUAUAUAAGAUUGUGCUACACAAUAUUAUCAUCUGCAAGAAUUGUGAGAUUUAAUUUAAAGAUGCCUCUCACAAAAGUUCAUGUUUCAUAUGAAAUUGUUAGAUGGGAUUAAUAUUGAUAUCACCAACAAUGACUUUGCAUAUAUGAAUGUCAGAAGAACAUUUUCAAAUAAUGUCAAGAAAUAUACAAGUAACAUUCUCUAUACAGAAAUUGUUAUUUUGAUGAUUAUACUAAGAGGCCUCAGAAUCUAGUCUCGCCCCGGGCCCCCAAAAUUUUAGGACCGGCCCUCGCCACGCCACCAUGGCGGCCUUGUCUGUCUCGGCGACUCUCCUGCUUUCGCUGGAUGUGGCGACCCCGUCGUUGAUUAGAUGUGGGGAGUAGUUCAUCUACGUCUGAGGCUGUCAGAUGCGCCACGCCGCCGUGUCAUACAUGUAGACGGCCUCGUGAGUGGUCUUGAAGGUUUCGAGCCCGAGGUAUGCAUCCUCGGAGCAGAUCUCCGUGUAAUACAAGCCGAAGGGUCGGAGACGGACGCCGCGGUAGCCCGAGCUGCUUCGGGGCGCGGUGGCAUGACGGGGCGCGGGGGCGCGGCAGCGGUAGGGGAGAAGGCGCGGCAGCGGCGGGGCGCUGGAAGAGGCGGGGUGAGAAGGCGCGGAAGGAAAUUCUUGCACUAGGUGAGCGUAGAGAGGCGCGGCUUUUAUAGCGCGUGUUGGGCAUCGCGCGUCAAAGCUGCGGCGCGCUGCCGCUUUCCCCAUACGUGGGAUAAAAAAAAUUGCAUGCCCGAUUUUUUUCGCGCCUGCUGGAGCGCGCCACGUGGCCUCUCGCAAGCCAAAACAAUCGUUUUUCUCACGUGCGGCUUUUUUAGUGCGCCUGUUAAAGAUGCCCUUAUAUCGCUACAACAAAACACUACAGCUAUAGUAUGUGCGGCUAUUGUAGAUUGGAGAUUCUGAUGCAUUUCUUCUGCAUCAACUGAUGUACAAGUCGUCUUUAUUCUGUUAUUUAACAAGGACUUAUAAAAUAAAGCAUAUAGAUCAAUUUAAAGACAUCAUUCUGGGUACAAGAUUUAAUGAUGUGCCCUGUCCUUAUGCCACGCUCAUCAAGAAAUUUGAUGGCCUCACCAAGCUGCCUGGCGUCUAGCUAGGAGCACCAAUUGGUCUAGCGGACCCUUACAAUCCACCGCAUGCGCAUGCUGUAAGAAUCCGUCGCCGCCUUCCUCCGUUGUCCCAUCUUUAGGAGCAAUCAAUGCAAUGGUAUUGUCAAACCCUUUUGUCGUCGAUGCUACCUGACACCGGACAACGUCAUCCUCCUGCGCAUGCCUGCCAAACGCUAUCCAUUGUUGAGACCCCGCUGCACCUUGCCGCCAUGACUCACCGUGUCGAUACUAUAAUACUAUAGAUGGCAUGCCGCUCCAGCUUGAUCACCACACAAGAAGAAUACGUAGACCGAGGCACAGCCACCACGCCAAACAGAAGCCCCUCCAGCCAUUGUACAACCCCAAAAAUGAUGCCCCAUGAGAAUGACGACGUAGAAAUCUCGCCAUCAUCCGAUCCGUAAAGCCCAAAUCUUGGAUUUCCCCGAGGUAUAUAGGGAACGAAAAUUAUUAUGUCAACCUCGCUGCACCCAUGCUAAGUUCAGUUGUGUCAUGUUAUUUCAGCUAUCUCAUAAGCGUAUCUGUACGCAGUUUCUUUAAGACUUUAGCCAGAAACGUGCUUGGUUCACGUUGCGGCAGUGUGAGUCGUAGUGUAGACAGAGUCCUUGUUUACUUAGUCAAGUAAUCGUGCAAGGGUCUGGCCACGAUCUGUCCGUGGGAUGGCACGGAGAAAACGGAUCGUGAUCAGCGCAUUGUGCGAGUUUGUUAUACAGCUGAAUAAAAGGAAUGAGCAGAAAAGACGCAGCGGUUACGCGUCGCAAAAAUCUCCCUGUUCGCUGCGUUCGUGCAGCUCGUCUUUCUCCUUCAGUUCAUCUCAGGUGUGUCCACCUCGCGUGAGUGUGUCGAUCCAAGGCUGGUUCUAACACUUGGUAUUCAGAGCCUGGUUCACGUACGGCGGCGGAGGUAGGAGGAGUUGUGGCGGCGGAGAUCGACGAUGGGCGACACUUCACCGAGCGGCAGCGGCGGCGGAAAGUACACGCCGCCGGCAAGGAGGCCUGGUGAUGAGGGCACGGCCGCGGAGGUGGCGAUCGUACCGCGCAUGCCGACGAGGACCGGCGGCGUCCCGAUCCAGUAUCCCAUGCUCACGGACUCGAACUAUGGUCUGUGGGCGGUGAAGAUGAAGCUGCUCCUUCGCCCCUACGGUGUCUGGCCGGCGAUCGAGGGGACAGGCGAGUUUAAUCAAAACAGGGAUGACGAAGCCUUUGCUGCCUUGUCUCAGUCUGUUCCCGACUCGGUGAUGAUGGCAGUGGCUGAAUGCACUAGCGCUCACGAGGCCUGGGAAGCGAUCCGGCGCAUGCGUGUCGGUGAGGACCGCGUCAAGAAGGCGCGGAUCAAGCAGUUGAAGCGACAGCUCGACCGCAUGGAGAUGGACGAUGGUGAGUCCGUUAGUGUGUUUGCGCAGAAAUUGCUGACUCUCGUCGGAGAAAUCCGAUCGUUGGGCGAGACGGUGUCAGAUGAGUCGAUCAUUGAGGUCCUCUUCAACGCCGUCCCGAGCCGGUUUGGGGACAUCGUGAACACCAUUGAGCAGUGGGGUGACCUCACUACCAUGACCGUGUCGGAGGCGGUUGGUCGCCUCGCCGCGUUUGAAGAGAGCCAACGCGGGCGGCGCCGUCAAUCCGGUGGGAAGGAGGACCAGCUGAUGCUGAUGACACAGGCCCUUGAGCAGCUCAUGAAGGGCAAAAAUGGGCCACCGGGAGCCGGCAGUAGCAACGCUGGUCGUGGCCGCGGAGGUGGUCGAGGUCGAGGCGGUGGCCGCGGUAACCGCGGACAAGCCGGGCGCGGCGAGAACAAGGACGUGGAGAAGCAGAAGAAACACCGUAAGUUCGACAUCACUAAGGUCAGGUGUUUUAACUGUAAUAAGAUGGGACAUUUUCAGUCAGACUGUCCAGAGCCCAAACGAGAGCAGGCAAAUUUUGCCCAGGAGGAGGAGGCAGAUGAGCAACCUCUGCUCAUGAUCGCAGCAUGUCAGCUGGCCCCAGCAAAGAUCGAGUUGAAGGAACAAGUGUUCUUGAAUGAGAAGCAGGUGCUUCCGAAGCUAAGCGGUGAUUGGGACAUCUCCUGGUACUUGGACACCGGAGCAAGCAAUCAUAUGACCGGUUGCCGCGACAAGUUUGCAGAGCUCGAUGAGGCAGUAAACGGCAAGGUCAAAUUUGGCGAUGGUUCUGCUGUGGACAUCCGUGGACGAGGUUCAGUUCUCUUGAAGUGUCUCACAGGUGAGCACCGGGUUCUGACGGAUGUAUACUUCAUUCCUCGACUUAAGAACAACAUUAUCAGUUUGGGCCAGCUAGAUGAAAAUGGAUGCAAGUAUGCAAGUGAGGAUGGAGUAAUGACCGUGUGGGACAGAGAAAGAAAUGUUCUUGCACGAGUGAAUAGGACCAAGAACAGGAUGUAUAUACUGAACAUCCAGCCCACUGAACCUGUGUGUCUGCUUGCUCACGCUAAGGAUCAAGCAUGGUUGUGGCACAUGAGGUAUGGACAUGUAAAUUUCAGGUCACUUCGUACACUUGCAGCAGAAGAGAUGGUACAUGGCAUGUCGUACCUCGACCGGGUGGAGCAAAUCUGUGAUGGGUGCAUGAUAGCAAAACAGAGACGCCUCUCCUUCCCAGUUCAGGCGACUUACCGCGCAACGGAGCAACUUCAGCUCAUCCAUGCAGACUUGUGCGGACCUAUAACACCUGAAACGCCUGGCGGAAAGAGGUAUUUUCUUUUGUUAGUGGAUGACCACUCUCGGUUCAUGUGGAUUACUCUGUUGCGGAGCAAAGAUGAAGCUCUCAAUGGACUGCAGAAAAUCCAAAAGGCAGCUGAAGUUGAAAGUGGGCAUCAGUUAAAGGAAAUUAGAACAGACCGAGGGGGUGAGUUUACGUCAAGAGAAUUUGCAGAGCACUGUGAGCGGCACGGAAUCAAGCAUUUUCGCACGUCACCGUAUAGCCCACAACAAAAUGGUGUGGUUGAAAGGAGAAACCAAACCGUGGUGGGCAUGGCGCGCAGUCUGCUGAAAAGUAUGGGGGUGCCACCUCGGUUUUGGGGUGAAGCAGUGACCACUGCCGUAUAUUUGCUGAACAGAUCGUUGACAAAGAGUGUCAAGGAGAAAACACCAUAUGAGGCUUGGUAUGAGAAAAAGCCGUCAGUUCAACAUCUUCGUACUUUUGGUUGUGUUGCUCAUGUGAAGAAGGUUGGGCCCGGCGUGUCAAAACUCUCUGAUAGAAGCUCACAAAUGAUCUUUAUUGGUUAUGAACCUGGCUCCAAAGCCUACCGCAUGUAUGACCCUGAAAGCAAGAAACUUGUUGUAUCACGAGAUGCAGUGUUCGAGGAAGACAGGUGUUGGGAUUGGAGCAUCUCGGGAUCAGUGGAAAGUAGCGAUGGAAGUUCAUUUGUUAUCAGCUACCCAGAACAACCAAAUUGUGACGAAGCAGGAGAGGUAGCAGAAGACGUUGCCCCGGAGGCGGAUUCAUCAAGUAGAACCCCUGCAAUGGCAGCGCCUCGGCUGGGUGAUAGAACAAGACGUGCUAACGACGGGUCUGCGAUCCCGCUGGACCUAGAAGCCUCUCCGGUGACUCCUGCUUAUGCUCCUGGUUCUCCUGACACACCGUACUCCGAGCCUUCCGAGGGCCCACAAGGCAAGCGCCUUCUGGAUGAUGUCUAUGAGGAAACGACAGAGGUAGAGGCAGCCUACUCAGGCCUCUGUUUAUUUGGUAUGGAAGAACCUGCCAAUCACUUCGAGGCGAUGAAAGAGUCGUGUUGGCAGAGAGCUAUGCAGGAUGAAUUGAGCUCCAUUGAGGCAAAUAGUACAUGGCACCUUUGUGACCUGCCAAAGGGAUGCAGGCCCAUUGGUCUGAAGUGGAUUUAUAAGAGAAAGAAGGAUCCCAAUGGAGUUGUAGUCAAACACAAGGCGAGGCUGGUAGCUAAAGGGUAUGUACAACGCCAAGGGGUCGAUUUUGAGGAAGUUUUUGCUCCUGUUGCACGCUUGGAAUCUGUCAGACUUCUAGUGGCACUUGCUGCACAAUUUGGUUGGAAAAUGCAUCAUAUGGAUGUUAAAUCAGCGUUUCUCAACGGUGAUCUGAAUGAAGAAGUCUAUGUGAGCCAACCGCCGGGGUUUGAGAUUGCCGGAUGUGACAGCAAGGUGUACAGACUUAAGAAGGCUCUCUACGGCCUUCGACAAGCUCCAAGGGCAUGGAACUCAAAAUUGGAUACUACUCUCACUGAAUUUGGCUUUGAAAAAUGCCCUUCCGAGUCGGGUCUGUACAGGAAAAGGGCAGCUAAGUCAGUACUGAUAGUGGGUGUGUAUGUUGAUGAUUUGAUUAUCACUGGCGGCAGUGACCGUGCCAUCAAAGAAUUCAAGGACCAGAUGAAGUCUAAGUUUAGCAUGAGUGACUUGGGUCUACUAAGUUAUUACCUGGGUAUUGAAGUUAAGCAAUCAGAAGAAGGUAUUGUUUUGUGCCAAUCAGGUUAUGCUUCCCGGAUCCUUGAGAAAAUGGGGAUGUCAGACUGUAAGUCAGCCCAAACCCCACUGGAACCCAGGCUGAAACUCAGCAAGAACAGUAAGGCUAAAGAAACUGAUGCAACUCAAUACAGGAGUUUAGUGGGGAGUUUGAGAUACUUACUUCACACACGUCCUGAUCUCAGUUUUGCAGUGGGUUUUGUUGGCAGAUUUAUGGAGAAGCCCACAACAGAGCAUUUGGUCACAGUCAAAAACAUUUUGAAGUACGUAAAAGGAACACUCAACCUUGGAUGUGUCUACAACAAGUCUAGAGAGUAUGCGCCUCAACUGAUAGGAUACAGCGACAGUGAUCAUGCGGGAGACAUUGAUGAUCGCAAAAGUACUUCAGGUGUUCUGUUUUACUAUGGUGGCUGUCCCAUAACCUGGACAUCGCAAAAACAGAAAAUCGUCGCUCAGUCUUCCUGUGAGGCUGAAUAUGUAGUUGCUGCAUCAGCAGCUUGUCAAGGGAUUUGGUUAGCUAGGCUUCUUGGAGAAUUACUGGAUCAGAAGCCAAACAAGGUACUACUGAAAGUGGAUAAUCAAUCAGCCAUUUCCUUGUGCAAAAAUCCUGUGUACCACGAGCGAAGCAAGCACAUUGAGAUAAAAUAUCACUUCGUGAGAAGCUGUGUUGAGGAGGGGAAGAUCAUUGUGGAACAUAUAAGAACUGAAGAACAGCUUGCUGACAUGUUAACAAAGUCACUUCCUAGGGUUCGGUUCCAGGAGAUGAAGGAGAUGAUCGGAUUGCGUGAUGUGAAGUGAGUGCAGCAGAGAUUAAGGAGGUGAAUAUUAUGUUAACCUCGCUGCACCCAUGCUAAGUUCAGUUGUGUCAUGUUAUUUCAGCUAUCUCAUAAGCGUAUUUGUACGCAGUUUGUCUAAGACUUUAGCCAGAAACGUGCUUGGUUCACGUUGCGGCAGUGUGAGUCGUAGUGUAGACAGAGUCCUUGUUUACUUAGUCAAGUAAUCGUGCAAGGGUCUGGCCACGAUCUGUCCGUGGGAUGGCACGGAGAAAACGGAUCGUGAUCAGCGCAUUGUGCGAGUUUGUUAUACAGCUGAAUAAAAGGAAUGAGCAGAAAAGACGCAGCGGUUACGCGUCGCAAAAAUCUCCCUGUUCGCUGCGUUCGUGCAGCUCGUCUUUCUCCUUCAGUUCAUCUCAGGUGUGUCCACCUCGCGUGAGUGUGUCGAUCCAAGGUUGGUUCUAACAAAAAUCACCCCAAUACACCUUUAACGAGGUUGGGACGCCCGCAGGUGCCGCUAUCGACAGUUCUGGCCAAAGCCGAACCAUGCUUUCGCUGGCAAAUUUUCGCCCAUCCCCAGGUCGACCACCAGAUCAACAUCCUCUGUCAUCUAGCACACCCAUGGGUGAUGUCUGUUGCCGGGAAACCGCAUGACCGGAGCCGCACCACCGCCCCGCCUAUAUGAGCCAACAGCGGUGCUGGCCUGCUGGGUCCCUCACCAUUGCCCCGCCGCUGCCGUCGACGCACACAUUCAGGACACCCGUGCAAAUCUCCACCGCAACUGAAUCCCGGAGCGGCGGAGGAAGGCCAGCCACCACCAUCAUCCCAUGCCUAGGCUUUGCCCCGUGGAGCUCCCGCGGCAGAGAGUAGAGGGGCGGAUAUUCGGUUGGCUCUGGUACAAUUCCAUACUGGAGAUAACAAAACUGUAUAGACAAUUUCCUCCGUUCAAUCAUCAGUUGGGAGAAAUGGUAAACAACUUUGCCUUCCGGUAAAAAUGUGAUGAUAUAUUAGUUCGAGUUGAACAUGAAUAUUUACCCGUGAUGCACGUACAUUGCAAGUGAACAACACGAGAAACACGAUUACUGAUCAUGAACUUCACGCCACUCGAUAGCAUCACACUUGUCACGCAUUAAUUUGACCAAAGUUUUGAGCAUUGCCCACUCUUUCUCUUUAUAUAUCUCUAAAUCGUAUGCACCUUUUCUAUGUUGCUUCCGUUGGUCAUUAGUGUAUGACUAUAUAAUUACUACUGAACUUUUCGUGUGUUCUCUUGCCAUGGCCAAAGGCUGGGGUUUACUCCCCUUUGGGAAAAAAAAAAGUGUUCUCUUGCCGAUGAGUUGAGAUUUUAGAAGAAACUGGGACAAAUUGAGGACAAGUAGCGCAUCGGUGAUGGGUCUGUGCCUGAUGUAGAUCCAAACAUCCAUGGGCCUGUAUCUCUGACAGAAUUUAUGUCUCAUCAAGACUUGAGAGACUUUAUAUGCAAGCCCGGCAAAAACGGACCGAUUUUAUCCCGUGGAAAAGUGCCUAGUUUGUUCGAGUCAAUUGUGUAGUGUGUCCUCUCAUUAUGUCCAUUGGGAGAAGGUAAACCCAAUUUUGUAGAGUGGAGGCAAGUAUGUAAAUUCAUCAUUUGCUUCUUCCAAAUAAUUAAAGAGCAAUGCAAUAUGAUAAUUCUUCCUCCAAGAGAGAUUGUAGACACGAAGUUAUCCAUCCACACAAUGUUUAUAUUAUCAAAUUGUCACCAUCCGUGAAUGCGAACACCCGAUCUUUAGAUGUUAGGCCAGUCUGGUUGUUUUUUUAGGCUGUGAGUUCUUAUCUUCGCAUGACAUGCCUGGGAGUGUUCUUUGUCUGUAAUAAGUCCAUCCGUAAUCGUUGACCUGGGUCAAGAUUCAGAAGGAGGCAACGUACUUCAGUUCCUAUCAGCGGCCGGUAUGGUUCUGACUGCAAUAUCUAAAGAGUAUCUCUAGAAACCUAAACCUCAAAAUGCAACUUUUCUUCCAGUUCAAUGGACACUGCAAGUCUGAUGCAUGACCAGCAGAUGAUCAUAGUUUGUAGUUUAGACGCAAACUGCAAUUCUAGGAAGGCAUACGAAGAUAGAUGAUUAAGACAGUGUGGUACAUAGGCGAAGUUUGAAAUGUAAUCACAGUCGGUAGAUAUGAGAAAUGAACCUAGGAAAGUGAUUGUUUAUCACAUUCAGAUAGUCUAACNNNNNNNNNNNNNNNNNNNNNNNNNNNNNNNNNNNNNNNNNNNNNNNNNNNNNNNNNNNNNNNNNNNNNNNNNNNNNNNNNNNNNNNNNNNNNNNNNNNNNNNNNNNNNNNNNNNNNNNNNNNNNNNCAUUCAGAUAGUCUAACCAGUACCUCUACUGAUUUUAGGAGUUCAAUUGCAUGCUUUGACUUGAAAAACGGGAUGCAAACCAAUCGAUUUGAGCUUAAUGUCAGCGUCAAUAGUGUAAGAUGGAUUCCUUCAUGCUCUGGUUGCAUUAUGGUCAUGUUGUUAACUCCUCAUGAGCNNNNNNNNNNNNNNNNNNNNNNNNNNNNNNNNNNNNNNNNNNNNNNNNNNNNNNNNNNNNNNNNNNNNNNNNNNNNNNNNNNNNNNNNNNNNNNNNNNNNNNNNNNNNNNNNNNNNNNNNNNNNNNNNNNGUUAACUCCUCAUGAGCUAGACACACCAUUCAGUAGCAUCACACCUUUUGAGCUGCUAAGUUGGUCAUACUCACCAAAGAUAAUUUGAUUAGAAGAAGAUGGGUGGGUAAUCCUAGAUGUUGCUUUGUGACAACAAUGAAACAAUCAAACACCUCUUUCUCGAAUGCCCUUUGGCUAGACUGUUAUGACGCGCCAUUCAUAUAGCUUUCAAUAUUAAUACUCCAUUAAGUAUGAACAUGUUAUUUGGGACGUGGCUUCAUGGGGUGGAAACCAACACAGUAAAGCAAAUUAGGAUAGGAGCAUGUGCUUUAUUAUGUGCUAUUUGGAAUAGCAGGAAUCNNNNNNNNNNNNNNNNNNNNNNNNNNNNNNNNNNNNNNNNNNNNNNNNNNNNNNNNNNNNNNNNNNNNNNNNNNNNNNNNNNNNNNNNNNNNNNNNNNNNNNNNNNNNNNNNNNNNNNNNNNNNNNNNNNNAGGAAUGAUAUGAUUUUUAACAACAAUAGAUUCAACAAUUUCUUACAGGUCAUAUACAGAGCAACAUCUUGAUCUGUACGUGGUCGUUACUCACGCCUGCGGAGUCCAGGGAUCGUUUGGUUAUUGGGUGCAACCGAUGGAAGACGGCAGAGCGGGCUAUCUUCAACCAAUAUGGAUGGCGGCACACUAACAGGCUAGGUGUAUAGGCAUUUUAGUCUGAGUUUCAUUUUGCCCAUGCUGACAUGUAUUUCUUUUUUUUAUUGAGAGACUUCAUGCUCAUUUUGUACCUUGUACUAUGGUUCAACCUUUGAGAUUAAAUAAAAUGGCUGCAUGCAUCAUCAUGAUGCAGAGGCCGGGGUCCUCCUCCUUUUCAAAAAAAAAGUUGACUGAAGUUUUGACUAUUGAUUGGUGUUCGCUCUGUCCCUAUGUGUACUUUAGACUAUUUACACCUUCAGACUUUUGUGUUCCUUUGAGUAGUCUUCAGGUUAUGGAGUGAUGAAUUAGACAGACGUCUUCAGUGUGUUCAUGCUAAUGAGGUGAUAUUUUAGCAGAAACUGAAAAGGAGANNNNNNNNNNNNNNNNNNNNNNNNNNNNNNNNNNNNNNNNNNNNNNNNNNNNNNNNNNNNNNNNNNNNNNNNNNNNNNNNNNNNNNNNNNNNNNNNNNNNNNNNNNNNNNNNNNNNNNNNNNNNNNNNNNNNNNNNNNNNNNNNNNNNUGUUCGGAUUACUUGCGUGUACGUCUCCGGUCCUUAAGCUUGGCAUUGACAUGAUACGCCAUCUUGCUAGUGCCGUGAGAUUAUAAAAGAAACUGAAAAAGAAAUGUGAAUAGUUAUUGGUACUCGAAGUGUGUAGGAUGAAACCAUAAUCUUUGUGCUCAAUGUAUUUAGGAUGAAGACAUAACUUUUGUGCUCUUGAUGCACGAUUUAAUCGAGUACUAGCUCACUCGUGUUUCACGUGAUGAAGUUAGCGGUUGCUCGAUUUUGCUUUUACAGAUUGUGAAUCAAUAGUCUGUUUAACUACGUAUUCCCGAAUGCGCUUGUGAUUAUCCCGGCGGCCUUUGAUGUGAAGCUUUCAGUUAAAAAGCGAAGUGCAAUUUUCAACAAGACGGACAAACAAUGAUAGAUGAAAGGCAUGGAAUCCUCAAUGAAAUCUACGAGUGAAAUGCGUCAUUAGUCCAUCAACUUAAACUGUAACUGUUUGCACACUCUAGGCCAACAACUCGAGAAGUUACCGGAUUUAGUAUGCAAACUCAUUGAUUUGAUCAAAAAAGGCAAAAAUCGGCUCGGGAAUUAAAAAAACCGGUCACGUGGAUACCAUUUCAUCGCUCUGUUGACCGCUCGUGNNNNNNNNNNNNNNNNNNNNNNNNNNNNNNNNNNNNNNNNNNNNNNNNNNNNNNNNNNNNNNNNNNNNNNNNNNNNNNNNNNNNNNNNNNNNNNNNNNNNNNNNNNNNNNNNNNNNNNNNNNNNNNNNNNNNNNNNNNNNCUGUUGACCGCUCGUGACUUCACCAACUCAAGAAGUGAUUGAGCGUUUGGAGGGAUCUUCUGAUUUUUUUUUUCUCUCUCUCCUGAUUCUACAUGAAGAAACAAGCGGGCUGUGAAUUGUUGUGCAAGCCUGGUGNNNNNNNNNNNNNNNNNNNNNNNNNNNNNNNNNNNNNNNNNNNNNNNNNNNNNNNNNNNNNNNNNNNNNNNNNNNNNNNNNNNNNNNNNNNNNNNNNNNNNUAUUUUUUGACCUGGUGGUAAAUCUAUCACAAACUAGCAGUGGCGGGCACUAGUAGAUGCCCGCCACCAGUAACGAAAAAAGUAGUGGCAGGCGGUAAUAUGUGCCCACCACUAGUAUUUUUGGUCUCAAGGCAAAUCUGUCCAAAAACUACCAGCGGGGGCCAUAGUUAAUGCCCACCACUAGUAGAUAUAAUAGCAGUGAGAAGCUAUAUUUUGUACCCGCCACUAGUAUGUUUCCUGUUAUUUUUCCGUAAUGCUCGUAUUUUAGUAUUUUAUGUUUACUCUUACGGGCUAACUGUUUUUUGCAUUAAAGGUACGUCAUUUAAACUGUCAUGUAAGAGUUUCACCCAUUUUAAUGUUAAUUAACUACUUUUAGGACAUUAAAUUUGUUUUUAGGUAGGUAAUGGAGGUAAGUCCAGUUAAAGACUUAAAUACAUAGACAGAUCCGAAAGGAUGGCAAAUUUUGGCGUGUCAAUGUAAUAGUGUAUGUUAGCUGUGGGACAUAUUUGAACCCUAACUGAGAAAGCAGUGGUCGUUUCGUAUACAAAUUUGUCUCUUGUAAACGGAUAGAAAUGCAUUUAAUUGCUUAAAUAUAGCAAAAAGAUAACGGAAAAUGCAAUUUUUUUACAUGACACAUUUAAUGGUGUGUACUAAGUGUAACAAAAUUUCAAUGUCAAUAGACAAAACAUCGUUAGAUUCACAUACAAACUUGACAUGUUUCCUCUUGAUGGUUCGAUUGGUAAAUAAUCUACGUGAAAACUCCCAUGAAACAUUCUCAUUUUUUUACCACCAAAUACAUAAGCUAAAAUACAGCUAACUUAACCACUUUCCCGUCAUCGCCAUUAACAGCCGAGGGGAAAAACCUAUUCGUCGCUCUGUGCGAAACCUUGUCGGGACUUUGCACAGAGCGGGAGGGAGAUCGAUUUCAAAUGGAAUGGCUCAUUUAUCGGGUUUGCAGCGCCUCAGCUUUGGAAACCUACUAGAGGUUCCGAGUCGGUGUUUUUUCUGGUUUUGGGAAACUUAUUGAAGGUUCCAUGAAUCGGUAUUUUUUCUUUUUCUUUUUCUUCAGUUUUUUCUGUUUCUUUUUUUCUAUUUUGUUUCUGUUUCAAACAAAUGUAUUAGAUUUUCAAAAAAUGUUUUUGGCUUUUCAAAAAAGUUCUUAACAUGAAAAAAAAUGAACUAUGUUUUCCCAAAACUGUUCUUGGUUUCAAAAUUUGUCUUUAAGAUUCAAUUUUUUCUCGGUUUCAAAAUUUGUUCUUAAGAUUCAAAAAAUGUUUGUGCUUUAAAAAAUUGUUCGCGCUUCAAAUUUGUUAGGUUUAUUUCGAAAUUGUUCUCCUUUUCAAAAUUUUGUUCUCAAGACUAAAAAAAGUUCGUGCAUUAAAAAAAUUGUUCACACUUCCAAAUUUGAUUAGAUAUUUUCAAAAUAGUUCUCGGUUUCAAAAUUUCUUCUAAAGGUUCAAAAAAUGUUUCUAUUUUAAAAAAUUGUUCCUGCUUCCAAAUUUCUUCCAUGUUUUUUAAAAUUGUCCUCCAUUUCACAGUUUUGUCUUCCAGAUUCAAAAAAUGUGCAUGCUUUCAAAAAUUCUUUGCGCUUCCAAAUUUAUUCAGGAUUUUUCAAAAUUGUUCUCAAAAUUCAAAUAAUCGUCAUGCUUUAAAAAUUUGUACACGCUUCCAAAAUUUUACGGGGUUUUUCAAAAUUGUUCUCAAUUUGAAAAUUUUGUUCACAAGAUUCAAAAAAUGUUCGUGCUUUAAAAAAUUGCUAGUUCUUCCAAAUUUGUUCACGAUUUUCCAAAAUGGUUUUCAAUUUUAAAAUUUGUUCUCAAAAUUCAGAACAUUUUCUUGCUUUAAAAUUUGUUUGCGCAUUCAAAUUUGAUUGGGGUUUUUCAAAAUUAUUCUCCUUUUUAAAAUUUUAUUCACAAGAUUAAAUAAACGUAUUAGCAUUGUCCUUAUAUCUAUGAUAUUAGCCGCAGUGAAUGUCAAGAUCUGUCAUACCUUUGACAGCAGAAUCGGCACUUCAGGGAAAUCACAGUUUUUUGACUAUCGGACCCUUCCCAAGUGAAUCUGACGAAAAAGGGUUCCCCCCGCGUUGUAUUACAAAACAACCAACAAGACCAUCCAUCGAUUGAUGCUGGGGCGGAAACAGCACAGACAUGCCCAAAACAAAUGAAAAAAAAACAAAAAAAAAAACAAAUGCCGACACCGACGGAUCGACAAAAAACACAAAAAGACUCGCGACCGCUGCGCCCACCAACAGUCUCACACCAAGCUCCAAGACUUGCCAAGUGAAUCUCCAAAGCGAAAAUAUUCCUUGGCAAGUAAAUGAGGAAUAACUGCAACCAUCAUAUGGUAUUUAAUAUCUACAUAAAAAAUAAAUAAAAGCUAGAUACAUUGCCACAAAGAUUACAAGUAAGGGGACAAUGUCAAGACAAAAUAUAAGUUUAAAGGAACAUACCUUUUUUCCAUUGAGCAGAAUAACCAGAGAAAAUAAAUAAAUCAAACUAUGUGUCUAUUUAACCAUUGAUAGUCGUCAUCAGAUGUUACUACCACAAACUUGUAAAUUGUAUCAAGAGUGUCUGUCUUGGUUGUUUACUGUGUCAGUCUUUCUGGAAACUGCCCUUUGCUUUCAGCAAAAAACUUUACAUCCCUGUUGAUGUGUAUCUGAUCACUCACUAGUUACUACCUUAGAAACCAGAUUUCUAUCUUGACAAGUGCUGAUACGGCAAGUUGGCACACAACUUGCAAACAACUUGCAAAAAAGGAGUAGGAAAAGACAUGCCAAGGACGCUGGUAGGCUUACGUAUCGGUUAAUCAUAAGCGCAUUUGGCAAUCGUAAUUAAACAAUAUUGUUGAUUCGUAAUCUUUAAAAGCAAAACUGAGCAACCACUAGGCGUGUAUAGUUUUUUGCCGGUUUUACUCAAUUAACCAUGCAUUGUAUCGGGUUUUCGUCCGGUUAUCCCAGAUUAACCAGGCAAUUCUAUUCUUCUUAAUGAAAUGCAGGAACCCCCUGUCCCUCUUAAGGUGUUCCAAAAAAAAUUCAGUGAGCUAGUACGUACUUGAUUAAUUCAUCCCUCUAGAGCACAAAAAUUAUGGCUUCGUCCUACAGCCUUUGAGCAUCGAACAAUUUUCAUAUCAGGACAAUGCAAGCUUGAUGUCUAGAGAAGUACUACAAUGUAAUAGAAAUACAUGGUAAACUCCUACACAAACCAAGAUGAAGCUUCUUCCUACUUCACUCCCUUUUCCACCAUGGUCAACUCCUUCCUCCUUUUCCACUACUUCUCCUCUCCCUUUGUCCUUCUUCUCUUUUUUCUUUCUUUUCCUCAUGGAGCAGCCGGCUCCCCUGCAAGCCAGCACAAGAGGUUCCCAUAGCCUGCAGGGCAGCUAGUUCAAGCCACCCGAUGACCAUGGUUAUACUAUUCACAUAUCAUUUCCAAUUUCUUCUAAUAUCUCACCUCACUAGAAAGCAG